AAUUUCAAAUGGAGUUUUGGACCACUUUGAAUUCACCUAGAAAAGCAUGAAAAAUUAGGUAGAUACUCCAUGCUUUCACCAUAUAGGUGGCAAAAGAGCCAAAGAAAAGACUACUAUAUUGAUAUGCGAUACCAGUUGGAUGUAUUCCAAAGCCAGUAAUCAUAGGGCCCUAAAGUAUUUUCUGAAUUACCUUCUCACAAACAUUCCUGACCUUGGGCACCCUUACAUUAAAAAUGAAAGCAGAGAUUUGUUAUUCA
This is a long non-coding RNA of Gavialis gangeticus (Gharial), 257 nucleotides long. RefSeq lists it as uncharacterized. The record is from RefSeq and is a predicted model, not a curated record. NCBI's taxonomy places the organism in Eukaryota, Metazoa, Chordata, Crocodylia, Gavialidae. The transcript has 2 exons.